UUGAGUUUCCUACUGUGUAAUUUAAAAAUACAUUUCCUGUCGAUACUACCAGAUCCUAGAACCCUAUCAAUAUUGUCUCUGCUGUGUACAUAGCUGUGAGUAGUGCAAUAUUGCUUAUAGGGUUUUAGUGUUUGGAAAGAACAGUGGCCA
This 150-nucleotide microRNA precursor is filed under the name Vombatus ursinus (common wombat). RNAcentral's name for it is "microRNA 454 (ENSVURG00010012604.1)". The stretch from base 39 to 140 matches the Rfam family "mir-454 microRNA precursor family". Lineage: Eukaryota; Metazoa; Chordata; Mammalia; Diprotodontia; Vombatidae. The record is from RNAcentral.